Molecule: ribosomal RNA, 393 nt
Filed under: uncultured bacterium
Lineage: Bacteria
Description: partial 16S ribosomal RNA
Rfam family: Bacterial small subunit ribosomal RNA
Source: RNAcentral
AUACGGAGGAUGCGAGCGUUAUCCGGAUUUAUUGGGUUUAAAGGGAGCGUAGGUGGGAUAUUAAGUCAGCUGUGAAAGUUUGGGGCUCAACCUUAAAAUUGCAGUUGAUACUGGGUGUCUUGAGUACAGUAGAGGCAGGCGGAAUUCGGGGGGUAGCGGUGAAAUGCUUAGAUAUCACGAAGGACUCCGAUUGCGAAGGCAGCCUGCUGGACUGUAACUGACGCUGAUGCUCGAAAGUGUGGGUAUCAAACAGGAUUAGAUACCCUGGUAGUCCACACAGUAAACGAUGAAUACUCGCUGUUUGCGAUAUACAGUAAGCGGCCAAGCGAAAGCGUUAAGUAUUCCACCUGGGGAGUACGCCGGCAACGGUGAAACUCAAAGGAAUUGACGGGG